CAGCAGCCGCGGUAAAACGUAGGGUGCAAGCGUUAAUCGGAAUUACUGGGCGUAAAGCGUGCGCAGGCGGUCCGCUAAGACAGAUGUGAAAUCCCCGGGCUUAACCUGGGAACUGCAUUUGUGACUGGCGGGCUAGAGUAUGGCAGAGGGGGGUAGAAUUCCACGUGUAGCAGUGAAAUGCGUAGAGAUGUGGAGGAAUACCGAUGGCGAAGGCAGCCCCCUGGGCCAAUACUGACGCUCAUGCACGAAAGCGUGGGGAGCAAACAGGAUUAGAUACCCGCGUAGUCCCUGUCUCUUAUAC
Molecule: ribosomal RNA, 301 nt
Filed under: uncultured bacterium
Lineage: Bacteria
Description: partial 16S ribosomal RNA
Rfam family: Bacterial small subunit ribosomal RNA
Source: RNAcentral